GAUGAACGCUGGCGGCGUGCCUAAUACAUGCAAGUCGAGCGAACAGACGAGGAGCUUGCGCCUCUGACGUUAGCGGCGGACGGGGGAGUAACACGUGGAUAACCCACCUAUAAGACUGGGAUAACUUCGGGAAACGGGAGCUAAUACAGGAGAAUCUAGUGAACCGCAUGGUUCAAUAGUGAAAGACGGUUUUGCUGUCACUUAUAGUUGGAGCCUCGCUGCAUUAGCUAGUUGGUAAGGUCACGGCUUACCAAGGCAACGAGUCGUAGCCGAACUGAUAGAGUUAUUGGCCACACUAGAACUUGGACGCGGUUCUGACGCCUACGGGAAGUCGCAGUCGGGAAUCUUCCGCAAUGGGCGAGAGUCUGACCGAGUAACGGCGCGUGAGUGAUGAAGGCCUUCGGAUCGUAAAACUCUGCUAUUAGGGAAGAACAAAUGUGGCAGUAACUAGCAAAGUCUUGACGGUACCUAAUCAGAAAGCGACGGCUAACUACGUG
This 497-nucleotide ribosomal RNA is filed under the name uncultured bacterium. RNAcentral's name for it is "partial 16S ribosomal RNA". It matches the Rfam family "Bacterial small subunit ribosomal RNA", at positions 28 to 507 of the family's 1533-position model. The record is from RNAcentral.